RNAcentral lists this long non-coding RNA (17051 nucleotides) under Lactuca sativa (garden lettuce). Its description in RNAcentral is "long non-coding RNA (LSAT_LNC005946)". Lineage: Eukaryota; Viridiplantae; Streptophyta; Magnoliopsida; Asterales; Asteraceae. The record is from RNAcentral.
CCCAAACACCUAUACGUACAACACUAGCUACUAUGGGUCCAAUCAUCCCUUAGGAUGGAAUACCCCAGGCCCCUCAACCAUCGAGUUGGAAUGCCAACAUACUAUGAGUCCAAUCAUCCUACAGGGAUGGAAUACUCCUGGCCACAACCAUUGGGUUGGAAUGCCCCACCUCCUAUACAUACAGUAACUACUACUACUACUACUACUACUACUACUACUACUAUUACUAUGGGUCCAAUCAUCCCUCAGGAUGGAAUACCCCAGGCCCCUCAACCAUCGGGUUGGAAUUCCAAACUACUAUGAGUCCAAUCAUCCUACUUGGAUGGAAUACUCUUGGCCCACAACCAUCGGGUUGGAAUGCCAAUCUACACUAGCAGACAUGCACACAUAACAGGCAUACAUAAAACACUCUACAGAACCAACACACUAGGGCCCUAUUAUCCUACCGGGAUGGAAUACCCUUUGCUACUACUCAACAUACAUAACCCGCGAGUACCUCCUGCCAGUGUACAUAGUGCGAGACCAAGUACCGGUCUAUAAAUAAUCACUACCCAACUACGAGGGCGCUGAUCCAAUGGAACUAGCCAUCAUACAACUAUCCAUUACUCAAGGAUACUAAGCUAAUAAAGCAUAUUCUCAUAUCACUAUCUCAUCUACCAGGAUACUAGCAGACAUAUCAUCACAUAACAUAACAGGCUCUAACAACAAUUCAAAGGGCCGGCCUUGGUGCCUUAGACCCUUGAGUACAGUAAGGAAAACUCACCUUGCAACUGUUGGAAUCCUGCAACUCUCUAACUGCUGACUCGCCGGGAAUCCCAACUAUCAUAUGAGAACCAUCACAUAAGAAACCAUCACAACGUUCAAGACCAAGGACCCACAACACUCAUUAAGUCCGUCAUCCUCUUAUUGGGCCAAGACCUAAAGUCAAAUCCUCAUGCAAAGCCCAAUAUUGGCCCAAUUUACUAAAUUGGGCCCACCUCACCAAAUGGGCCUACAUCCAAGGUCCACAAUAAUUAUUGAGUCCAAAAAUACUCCAUCCAUAAUGCUUAGUCACGGCCCAAGCCCCACUAGCCCAAUAAAAGCGCAAUCACUUAAGGCCUAAAAUCAAAACCCAAUAGAGGGAGUAUGCGGGGCGUACCCCUCUUGGUACGUUGGGCGUACAUCGAUGCUCGUGGAUUGGAGUCGGGACACAGAGCCACUACGCUGGGCGUACAUUCAUUUGCGCGGGGCGUAAUCUCGUUGAACUAAAAUCCCACAUAAGUUCUUAAUGGCUUAAGCUCUUAAUCCCAAACUUCAGAUCCAUAGACCAAAUAUGCCUAGGAUUCAUAAAGUCUCAAACUUUAUUACUUGGGACGUCCAUAAAGCUCUUAACUCAAGGUCUUAAUCCAUUAAGACCUACCUAUCUCACGCAUGAGACAACCAAAGCCAUUGGGACCUCAUUUUUCUCACUCAAGACCUCUCCUAAGGCCUGAAAGGACAGCUAAUCUCAACUAACUCGCAUCAUGCAUCACUUUGGGGGUUUUUGGGACAAGAAUGGUGUCCAAAACUUCAUAACACAUAGAUCUACACAAUAUGAUUGUCAAGCAAGAGACUUUAUACCUCAAAAGGGCUCCAGAAGAUGAUGCCUUUCCAGAUCUAUGAGCUCCAGCCACCCCACUCCUUCUUUGACAACUUCUUCUUUUUUCUUCUAGGCUCUCCUUUGCCAAAACAAGCUCUCCAAGGUCAAAUAUCCACAACAAUGGAAAACAACGGCUACUUAGGGCUUCUGAGGGUAAGAGGGCAUAUAUGGAGGCUGGGGUUGGAACCAUAAUGUUCCUUAUAUAGUGGUUGGCCCUAAAAUUAGGGUUUUUGGAUGAUAGACGUACGCUGGGCGUAAUUCCAGUACGUUGGGCGUACGUCGAGGGACCCACGUUUCAUCAAUUUCAUUAAGUUGGGCGUAACCCAGCCUACGCUGGGCGUACCCACGCGUGUCCCAUGCAUGCAUUGCCUUACUUUGUCAACUUUUUCCAUUAAGUGGCAUAAGUGACAAUAUCUUCAAAGUGUCAUAGAUCCUUUAUUCUAAGUCCGUUUCUGAUGAACUUUAUAUCCACGAAAAGGUGGCGAGAAGCCCUACGCUUCUAGCAACACAGCCCGACUCGAAACCUUCUUUAAUACAACCCAUUGCCCAUAGAAGACCGAAACGCCCUUAUUAUUUGAUCUCGAGGAACCAUAAAUAACUACUCUUAGAACGGGGCGUUACAAUUCUCCCCCACUUAAAUACGAUUUCGCCCUCAAAAUCGCCAACUGCCAACUCUGGCUAUCCAUAAUCCUGAAAAGCACAUUCACACUCCUCAAGUGAUGACCAUCAAUGGAGACUAGCCCCAUUGGAACUCCUCUUUGAAUGGAUACCUACUUCUUCUCAUGCAGACUCGAUACUUACCCUUCCGGAAAGCCCUGAACCCGGAAAAUUGAAUUGGAUCUGUCUCUCGGACAGGCCGUCCAAACUAACCAUCCCCUGACCUCUUCCCAUUGCUAUGAAAAGGAGCUACUCAACCGUGGGAACCCGAAUUCCCAACCUGAAAACAGGUCCAUGAGUCCUACUCUGGUGCCGACCACACUUGGUCUCUCUCUUAACUCAUGUCCGACCGAACAUACAUCGAUACUCUUACCAAACCAACACUCACGCCUGGCCAAUCAGCCUCGGGCUGGAACACCAGGUAUGCCUAUGACGGGUCCGCUCAUCCCCAGGAUGGAAUACCCUCGCAUCCCUACACAUGUUUGGUCCAAACAACCCUCGGGUUGGAAUACCAAACACAUCAGGUCCAAUCAAUCAUAGGGUGCGGUCAUCCUCAUGAUGGAAUACCCCAGAUUGGAAUACCUCCAUAUUCAUAACUCAACCUAUAACCAUACUUGGAACCAAGGACCCUGUCCUUGCGUCACCCUCGAACCCUUCGGUUCGCCACAUCUGAGUGUAACCCCACCCAUACCUGCUUAUCAUGAUCUCCAGGUCCUUGACCUUCAACUGCAAUAUCUUACAUAAUUCUCAUCACCGGUCCAGACUGCUCCCGAGUCUGUUAACCUGCUAUCCCACUUUCCUCUGUCCAAACCUCCAAUCUGGAGCCACUAUCCCUCUCCUCUUCCAAGGAGACUGAAAACAUGCCCAUGCAUCAGCCAACAUUGCCACCGCGACAGAUCCUCGCUAUACAUUACCCCUUAGCGGUGCUCACCGUUAUCCCAUAUCAUACAUACAUACCUGCCGCAUUUCCUCAACACAUGCAAACCCUUACAAUAACUGAACCGCCUCAUUGCAUCAUCCCAAUAGCCGACGUUCAAACCGCUCCAGGCAACCUUCUACAACCAGCAGCUUAUCCGAGAAUUUCCAAUUCUCCCCCACUUAGGGCACUAACCACCCUCCGCUGCGGCGAAGCUAACACGCAUGCUCAAUCGAACCUACUUAUACACCGAACUUCGAGGAAAUUGAGUUCCUGCUGAAAGUUCUCAAUUUCUCAAACCAUAACCUUCCUUUCUCAUGAAUUACACACUGGAUGAUAACCCUCUAAGAACCCUCAAUGCUCGCUCACCUCUAAUACAUACAACACUAAACAUCUCAUGCAAGACACAAUAGCUCAUAAUCACAACAUAAACAAGAUAAAGCAGAAAAACAUACCGACUGACACCUCUGGCUCAGAUCUGAUCUCCUCGGUCACAAGUUGAUCAGCACAUCCUGGAGCCUUCGGAGGCUCUGCUCGACCCUGACCUCCGUCGGUAAGUCUCAAAGUGGUUGGCGCUGGGGCCUGCACUAACCUGGCAGCCAGUAGAGGACACUGGGCCUUCAUAUGGCCCACCUGAUCACAAUGAUAACAAAGUCGCCCCCCUGCCGCUGGAGUCGACUGCCUGCAAUCCUUGGCUAUGUGGCCCUCCUUGCCACACUUGUGGCACCCCGAAGAAGAAUGGAAACCGCCCUCGUGCACCUUGCCGCACUUCCCGCAAGUGCGACUCCUCUGACCUCCUUGUCGAUAAUCAGCGGGCCUCAUCCGCUUCGGUGCAGGCUACGACUGCACCGGGGCCUGCCUCUACUCUCUUAACUGGAGCUCAAUCUCUAACUCGCGCCGCCUAAUGGCUUCCUGCAACUCCAACAAGGUACUACACCUCUGCGUGGAUACAAACUGUCUGAUGUCCUUCUUGAGCAUACUUAGAUAUCGAGACAUUUGAGCCUGCUCCAAAGAAAACUCCGGGCAAAACAUCGCCCUCUUAAUGAACAUCCUAGUGAUCUCCGUCACUGACUCUGAACCCUGCUUCAGUUCCAGGAACUCCUGAGCCAACCUCUCUCUCUCAACCUGCGGAAUAUAACGAGUACUGAACAUUUCCCGGAACUGAUCCCACGUAACCGCAGCCCGCUGCACAUCAGAAUAAGAUCCCGUGGUCAACCUCCACCAAUCCUUCGCCCCGAGCCUUAGAAGGUUCAGAGCAUACCUCACCCUCUUAUCUGUAGGGCAUGAACACGUGAAGAAGCAACCCUCCAUGUCUGACAAGCACCUCAUAGGAACGAUCGGAUCCUGAACUCCAUCAAAAGUAGGGGGCUUUGUAUUGUCGAAAUCCCGAUACUGAAAACUCCGACUGGCUCCNNNNNNNNNNNNNUGCCGCGACCGCUGUCUCUGCAAGAACUGCAUAUCGCUCAUCAAAAUACUCAACCAAGGUGGUCUUGAUCGACCCAAACAGUUUCGACAACUCAGCUCGGAACAUAGCAACAACCUCCUCAUGUAGGAUAUCGUGAAUCCUAGCGUCCAACUCAUCCGUACUCAUCUGGCCAAUGACUUCGGGUGAUACGGGUCCAUCCCGACCACCCUCUCCUGGUCCCAAUCCCGAAUCGGAUCCUGCCUCCAAACGUCUCGCAUCCGCCAUACUGGAAUGAACCAUAAAAAUCUCAGAUCCCUCGCAUAACCACUGAGGACUAACCUCAAAUCAACAACCUAGGGGUUGUGACUUCCUUGACACGCGUAUUGGUCAUGUAUUUUCAAUAGUACGGGCCCACACUAUCUUCCACACCUACCCAUAUUUGUCUAAAGUAUCACCACAAUGCCCUAAGCACAAACAUACACAACAAGCACUCAAUCCUCACCCCUAGAGGAAUACUGAAUAGCUCAUAACAUGGAAACCCUAGAAUCAUAUUACACAAACAUCAGAGUAAUUUCGCCAGAACCAUAUUACAUAAAGCAUAAACAUGAGGAGUGGUACGAUCACGCCUUCGCCUUGCCAUGAUCUCCUAAAGCACCUGAAACAAUAAACCACAACUGUAAGCCCGAAAGCUUAGUGAGUUCCCCCAAAGUACUCAUACACACACAAACAUACGCAUACAGCAAAGAACAACAUACUUCGGGUCCAAUCAACCUUCCGGUUGGAAUACCCCCGGCCCUCAACCAUCGGGUUGGAAUGCCUACAUAAUUAAUAUGUGUAUUUUUAUAUAUAUUUUUAUGCAUUAUAUCUUAAUAUUUUGGCCUUUAUUAUUCUCUUUUAGAACUAAAAAGUACUCAUAAUGCUUUGAAUUAUGAUUUGCAGCUAUUCGUUGACGAUAAAGCACAAAAGAAAAGACUGAAGCGGAAACCGGGCUUAGAAGCUAAAAGUAAUUAAAAAUGCUGGAGCAACAAUUACGCCCCGCGUAAAUAGCAAUUAUGCUAAGCGUAGCGACCAAAUUGAAUUACGCCCAACGUAACUUAAGGGUACGCCCCGCGUAAUGGCUGGCACCGGAUAAACUCCAUCGCGUUGUAAUCCUUAGUACGCCCAGCGUAAUUCGACUUACGCCCAGCGUACGUAAGUCGGCCACAAAGGUUAUAAAAGUCGAUUUUCAGCUAAUCAGGAAGGGGAUUCGACUUCCAACUUAAUUUAGUCGAUAUUAAACUUCUGUUAAGCCGUUUUGAGGAUCUAGAAGGCGGCCGGAAGGCCGUUAAGCUAACGGGAGCGGAGAUCGGAAGGGUUGGAGAGCAGAUACGUGUCGGUAAUCAUAUGGGUUGCUAACGGGACCAUGUUUAGCAUUCCAUUGUGGUACUUUUCUGUAUUCAGUUUCUGAUUUGGGUGUAAAAACCUUUUAUUUUGUGUUUAUGAUUGAAUGAAGCUUUGAUUAUUUAACUAAUUGCUAUAUUGAAUUGUUUAUUUAUCUUUAAUUUAUCUUGCCAAGCUUGUUAAAAGAUCCUUAUGUGUUAAUGAUGAUUAUUUUCUGUUAAUUGUUAAGUGAAUUGAGUUGUGUGAACACCUGCUUGAUUGCUUGUCUCUUAUGAUUUUGAUGACCAUCGAGAUUAUAAGUCUAGGAAUAACGAAUGUGAAACUAGGAUUAACUUGGGAAUAAGUAAGUUAAUGUGUGAGCCUUGUUUGAUGACCAUCAACAAGAGGUUAAAUUGAAUUAGUAAUUCGAUUAACUAUAUUUACAAGUCUUGCUUGAUACGAACUGAACACUAGGAAGCAUGUUAGUUUAAUCAACUGAUCACUGUUUGAAUUGACUUGUUUGCUAAAGGAUUAGUUAUAGUGAACGCGAAUCUAAUCAUUUUAGGAAUCGGUGAACAUGAAUAAAUGAAUUUGUGUAUGCAAUUGUCUAUGUUUUUAAGGUGUAAUUUAUCUAAACCAAAGUACCUGAAGAGAUUUGCUUUCCUGUUAGUUUAUCGAGAGUUGUUAAUUGUUAGUUUGAGAUUUAUUAAACCAUUUUCUUUAUUAUUUUCGUGUGACCUGUAACCUAUAAUCAAAUAUAUUAAAUUAAUUCACCACCGUUCCCUGUGAUCGACACCCGACUUACCUAAGCUAUACUGUAAUCUGACUAGGUACACUGCCUAUAAGUGCAUAGUUAGUCUAAGUUUGUUAGGUUAUAAAUAUUAAAAUUAGUGGGUACUUUUGUGCACAUCAAGUUUUUGGCGCCGUUGCCGGGGAACGGCUUUCAAUUAAUUUAGUUUAUUUGAUUAUUCGUUAUUUGUUUUUAGUUAGUUUUUAUUUUUAGUUUGAUUUUCGAUGAUAUCAAUUCACUUGUCGGGAAGGUUCUUGUUGUUAUUUGCAGGAAUUUGGGACUGUACACAUUGCUUGACUUUACUUUUUGCAUGGGUUUCGAGGAUGAAAGCGAUUAGGGAAUUCUUGACUUGCUUAGCGUACUACUUUGUUGAUUUGUCAAACUCAAUCCAUGAGGCGUAGUAUAGCAAGGCGUAUGGUGGUGGUUAAGUGGAAGACCGAGCUCUUGCUGUUCUUGACUAGUUAGGUCACUUCUUGUUCCGCUUUUAGUUAAAGGUGCAAGGAAAACAAAGGAAAUAUUCUAACGGGUCCCGAAAGUGGGUGUUUUCGCAAACCAAUUCUUGCAUGCAAAGGUUUUUAAUCAACCAUUGUUGUUUGAUCUUGACAAAGAUAAGUGAUUGUGACGUCUCAUUUUUUUUCACUCAUCGGAAAGUCAUUUGCUGAAGAAAUUAAAAAGAAAAAAAAAUUAAGUUUUAAGUCCCUUAAUUAAAUAAUUAAAAGAAAAGGAAGUUAAAUUAAAGAAAAAGGAAAAGUUUCAUUUAAGUUUACUUACGCCAAGCAUAAUAAACCCCGGAUCGCGUAUGGAUUUUCAUGAAAUUGGGGUUACACCCAAUGUAACAUUGUGUUACGCCCAGCGUAAGACGACGACAAGGUUAUAUCUUUUGACCCUUGACUUUUUUGUUACUUUUUCACAAUCCCUUUCGCACACACAAAACUGUGACGNCACACACAAACUGUGACGGACGAAGUCUUUCCAAGAAUCUCGAUUUUUCUACUUUUCUUGUAAAAUUCGGCACACAAGUAAGUAUUUCGGGUACUCAAUGUUAUGGAUUUAUGUUUAAAUCGACGAAAUUGGCUGCAAAUUGCCUUUGUUCGAAAUCUAGGGUUUAUAUAGUUCUUGAAUUAGGGCCGAUUUCGCAAAUAUAUGUUCUGAUUACCACUUAAAUGGACCGAUUUCUAUCAAUUAACUAAACCCUAGGACUUAAUUUGGUCUUAAUCCCGUCCCACACCCAUCGAUUUAAACUCUGGGACGUACGCCUAGCGUAACCCCUGUUGACUUCAAUUCUUCACUGCUACACAUGUUUCCCUGUUAAGUGUUUGCUAAUAGACAAGGAAUUUACAGGGAUUGAUUCAUAUUUUUAGGGAGGUCCCGUUUUUUUUUCUACUAUGUAGGACCACGCAAUCCUUAUGCUCGAUAUGCCCAUGCUGGGUUUAUUACUUGUAGAUUGGCUUAAUUUAAAAAAAAUUGAUUUGGGAACAAGCAAAGGAACCAGGACACAGACUCGUGAACUUGGACGUACGCCCAACAUACGCUGGAUGUACGCCCAGCGUACAGACCAUGUCCAGCUCCAAUUUUUUUUGGUUUAAAAAUUUGUUAAUUCUGUGAAAUUGUGUUUGGUUUUGUGUUUGUGUUUAUUUGUGCAGAUUAUGGCCCGAAGAACCCAACGGACUAACCCACCCGAGGAUGUGACCGAUCACCGUUUCUUACAAUUUCCGCAAACGCUGAACGAUGCAACCCGGACACGAUAUGUCAACAGUUUGAGUUUGCUGCUCACCAAGGAGAUCGACAUAGCACCCUCAUUUGAUUGGGACUUGGCGACCCGGACUGGACUAGCUGCACUGAUCCAGAAAUUUUUGCAAUACACGCACUCGGACGCGAGUGGUGUGGAUUUGUUCGUGUGUCAGGGAUGGGCAUGAUUGUUCAAGAUCCAGGAGCCUGUUUAUCGGGAAUUUUUGUUGGAGUUCUACGCUACAGUUUCCUAUGAUCCUAGGAAGGCACCCAAUGACAGGAUAGCUUUUGCCUUUAGACUGGGGGAGUGAGCCGGGAAUGCAGCGUGAUAGAGCUUGCAACUCGAGUGGGUAUUUACACAGGGGAUUAGACGAGGAGUGUCCACUUCCCGGCAUUCCUUGCUGAUUGUCUUACGGAGCGGCCAUACGACUAUAACGAGAACACUUUUUGGGCCAAGAUUACCGGAGGCGUUUAUAUGCCAUCCACUGCACGGGGUAGGAUGAUACGGUUUACUACCUACAGAUUGCUGCACCGGUUGAUUUCCAUGACUCUCACGCAUCACAAGAACAGUGAGAGUGUGCCUUCGACAGACUUGUAUUUCCUAUGGGCACUUGUUACUCCAGGGAGGCACCUGAACCUUCCCGUUGCUUUAGCUGCAUAUUUGGGACGGAGUGCCAGGGGACUUCGGGAGGAUAGCCCGAUAUACGGAGGGCAUUUUAUCACGCGGUUAGCCCGAUCAUAUCAGUUGCUGACGCGUGAGAUCACGAGAUCGAUGGCGUUCCACGAUAUGAGGCCGAUGAGCCUUCAGCUGUUGGAGUCGAUGCGUGUAUUGGAGCGGGGUGGAGAUGGUGUCUUGUGAGUACGAGUAGAUGAUGUGGCGGACGAGGAGGGUGCCGCCGAGCCACAGCCNCGGCGUAGACCUGCUCCUCGGGGAGCGCAGCAGGGACCUGAGCCGGAGAUUGAUAUGCGCUACCUAGCUCAGGGCAUUGACCGUCUUGACAUGAGGGUCCAGAACCUUAGCGAGUAUGUUGCACAUGUGGACAGGCAACAGCAGUGGUAUGGGGAUGCGUUGAACGCAUUGUUUGCCCACCAGGGGUUUCAGUAUUCGGUUCCCUACCCACCACCAUUCCAGCCACGACAUGAUGGGGCCGGUACUUCGGGGACACAACAGCAUGAUGAUGGAGAUGAUGAGUGAUCCUUUUUAUUUUUAUUUUUGUGUUUAUUUUUGUGUUUUUUUUGUGUUUAGUUUAGUAUUUUUAUUUGGUAUGUAAUUAAACUUUAAUUUAGUUUGUUUUUAUUUUUGUUUUCCAUGUUGAUGCUCUUUGGUUGUUUAGAUUUCUGCAGAAUUUUCGCCUUUAGAAAGCUAGCAGUAAGUUCAGCAGCUAGGUCCGACUAUUGCUAGAGAGAGCCGUGUGAGAGUUCGAAGAUUAUAGUCAAGACCCACAAUUUGUCAUAAGUGUGGGGUGCAUAUUGAUUUCGUGAGCGAUUGUUUAGAAGAUUGGCAUAUUUUUACGAUAUUUUGACUCUUAUGAUAUGGAUGAGCUGUUCCCACACCAUAGAGUUCUAUUUCGAUGCGAGGAAGACGUAUCAUCCCGGCUGCCAUGACAUGGUUGACACUUUCCUAUGUUGUGGGGGAUUUUUGUUUUCAUCGCGAGAGAAGAGAUGUCUUUCUUGACGAGACGACGUGGUCNUGGUUACUAUACUUUGCAUUUAUUUGCAAUAUUUUGCACCACAUUUUUGAAGAUGGCGGUCUUGAUUUUAUUUUUCGGCAAAUUCAGAAGUAGCAGUUCCAGUUUUCAGUCUUUCGGCGAUAUUGGAAGCAACUUGUAGCAGCCCCAUUCGAUCUCGCCACAACUACCCAGGGGAGUCUGUUCCUUUUUCUCCCUUUUUAUGUUCUUAAUUCGUUUUAUCAUUCAAUGAGGGCAUUGUAUGAAAUAAGUGUGGGGUAGGGGAUCGGUAAAAGUAAAUUAAAAUUAUAAGAAAAAAUAAAAUAAUAGUUAGGAAAUUGCUAGAUUUAGGAAAUUUAAAAUUUUAAAAACUUGAAAUAAUAGUUUAAUUUAGAAAAAUCUAGUGAUAAUUUAAAUUUUGCUAAUAUUGUAUGAAAUGAUCCGAUGAGAACUCAAAUGUUUAGUUGAGCCAAUAUACGUUAUAGUGCAUUUGUGGCCUCCCUUAUUUUAGUGAAAUCAUGGAACAAAAACAUAACCCCGCUUGGUUUGAGGGAUGCAAUAUGUUUAGCAGCCUAAACCUGAAAUGUAUCCAGGAAAAUUAUUAUCAUUAACCAAUAAAGGUUGAGGUUGAGCGCUCUGCUUAAGCAUGUAGGUUUUGAGUGAAAAAAAAGUGAGGUACAUGUAUAAAAAAAAGAGAGAAUUACGAGAAAAGUUUGAAGAAUUUUGGAGCAAAUAAAGUGAAGAUCAAAAGAUCAAAAUUCCAAGAAAUUUCAAAAAGUUGAAGAUACCAGAAAUCAAAUCAACAAAGGUGGUGAAUUCAAAGAAAUUAAAGAUCAAAUGUCAAAGAAUUGAAGAAUUCCAAAAGAGCUCCAUAGUGGUAUCGAAAAAUUGUAAUUCUAGAUUAUGUAUGCUUAGGUUGCUCAACUAAAAAUACCUUGAGGUUAGGAGGUUUUCUGCGGAUGGAUUCGGAGGGUUGCAUAAAAUGAGCAUUGUUCGGAAAAAGUGGGCAAGUGUUUAUGAAGAUUGUGAGUAUUUAAAGUAGGGGGGGUACUUUAGGAAAAUUUUAGACACAAAUGCAUGCGUUGCGGUCUUGACAUAAUGGCUGAGUUUUAAAUGGAUUGUUUAGUGCGAUAUUGGUAAAAUAAAAGUAAAUUUGCUUGGGGGCAAGCAAAGGCUAAGUGUGGGGUAUUUUGAUAUGUGUAUUUUUAUAUAUAUUUUUAUGCAUUAUAUCUUAAUAUUUUGGCCUUUAUUAUUCUCUUUUAGAACUAAAAAGUACUCAUAAUGCUUUGAAUUAUGUUUUGCAGCUAUUCGUUGUCGAUAAAGCACAAAAGAAAAGACUGAAGCGGAAACCGGGCUUAGAAGCUAAAAGUAAUUAAAAAUGCUGGAGGAACAAUUACGCCCCGCGUAAUACACUUCUACGCUAAGCGUAGCGACCAAAUUGAAUUACGCCCAGCGUAACUUAAGGGUACGCCCCGCGUAAUGGCUGGCACCGGAUAAACUCAAUCGCGUAGAAAUCCUUAGUACGCCCAGCGUAAUCCGACUUACGCCCAGCGUACGUAAGUCGGCUACAAAGGUUAUAAAAGUCGAUUUUCAGCUAACCAGAAGGGGGGAUUCGACUUCCAACUUAAUUUAGUCGAUAUUAAACUUCUGUUAAGCCGUUUUGAGGGUCUAGAAGGCGGCCGGAAGGCCGUUAAGCUAACGGGAGCGGAGAUCGGAAGGGUUGGAGAGCGGAUACAUGUCGGUAAUCAUAUGGGUUGUUAACGUGACCAUGUUUAGCAUUCCAUUGUGUUACUAUUCUGUAUUUAGUUUCUGAUUUGGGUGUAAAAACCUUUUACUUUGUGUUUAUGAUUGAAUGAAGCUUUGAUUAUUAGACUAAUUGCUAUAUUGAAUUGUUUGUUUAUGUUUAAUUUAUCUUGCCAAGCUUGUUAAAAGAUCCUUACGUAUUAAUGAUGAUUAUUUGCUGUUAAUUGUUAAGUGAAUUGAGUUGUGUGAACACCUGCUUGAUUGCUUGUCUCUUAUGAUUUUGAUGACCAUCGAGAUUAUAAGUCUAGGAAUAACGAAUGUGAAACUAGGAUUAACUUGAGAAUAAGUAAGUUAAUGUGUGAGCCUUGUUUGAUGACCAUCAACAAGAGGUAAAUUGAAUGACUAAUUUGAUUAACUAUAUUUACAAGUCUUGCUUGAUACGAACUGAACACUAGGAAGCAUGUUAGUUUAAUAAACUGAUCACUGUUUAAAUUGACUUGUUUGCUAAAGGAUUAGUUAUAGUGAACGCGAAUCUAAUCAUUUUAGGAAUCGGUGAACAUAAAUAAAUGAAUUUGUGUAUGCAAUUGUCUAUGUUUUUAAGGUGUAAUUUAUCUAAACCAAAGUACCUGAAGAGAUUUGCUUUCCUGUUAGUUUAUCGAGAGUUGUUAAUUGUUAGUUUGAGAUUUAUUAAACUAUUUCUUUAUUAUUUUCGUGUGACCUGUAACCUAUAAUCAAAUAUAUUAAAUUAAUUCACCACCGUUCCCUGUGAUCGACACCCGACUUACCUAAGCUAUAUUGUAAUCUGACUAGGUACACUGCCUAUAAGUGCAUAGUUAGUCUAAGUUUGUUAGGUUAUAAAUAUUAAAAUUAGUGGGUACUUUUGUGCACAUCAAUAACACGAACCCAAUCAUCCUACCGGGAUGGAAUACUCUCGGCCCACAACCAUCGGGUUGGAAUGCCCAAACACCUAUACGUACAACACUAGCUACUGUGGGUCUAAUCAUCCCUUAAGAUGGAAUACCCCAGGCCCCUCAACCAUCGAGUUGGAAUGCCAACAUACUAUGAGUCCAAUCAUCCUACCGGGAUGGAAUACUCUCGGCCCACAACCAUCGGGUUGAAAUGCCCCACUUCCUAUACAUACAAUAACUACUACUACUACUAUUACUAUGGUCCAAUCAUCCCUCGGGAUGGAAUAUCCCAGGCCCCUCAACCAUUGGGUUGGAAAGCCAAACUACUAUGAGUCUAAUCAUGCUACUUGGAUGGAAUACUCCUAGCCCACAACCAUCGGGUUGGAAUGCCAAUCUACACUAGCAGACAUGCACACAUAACAGGCAUACAUAAAACACUCUAAAGAACCAACACACUAGGGCCCUAUCAUCCUACCGGGAUGGAAUACCCUUUGCUACAACUCAACAUACAUAACCCACGAGUACUUCCUACCGGUGUACAUGGUGCAAGACCAACUACCAGUCUAUAAAUAAUCACUACCCAACUACCAGGGCGCUGAUCCAAUGGAACUAGCCAUCAUACAACUAUCCAAUACUCAAGGAUACUAAGCUAACAAGGCAUAUUCUUAUAUCACUAUCUCAUCUACCAGGGUACUAGCAAACAUAUCAUCACAUAACAUAACAGGCUCUAACAACAAUUCAAAGGGCCGACCUUGGUGCCUUAGACCCUUGAGUACAGUGAGGAAAACUCACCUAGCAACUGCCAGAAUCCUGCAACUCUCUGACUGCUGACUCGCCGGGAAUCCCAACUAUCAUAUGAGAUCCAUCACAUAAGAAACCAUCACAACUUUCUAGACCAAGGGCCCAUAACACUCAUUAAGUCCGUCAUCCUCUUAUUGGGCCAAGACCCAAAGUCAAAUCCUCAUGCAAAGCCCAAUAUUGGCCCAAUUUACUAAAUUGGGCCCACCUCACCAAAUGGGCCUACAUCCAAGGUCCACAAUAAUUAUUGAGUCCAAAAAUACUCCAUCCGUAAUGCUCAGUCACGGCCCAAGCCCCACUAGCCCAAUCACUUAAGGCCCAAAAUCAAAGCCCAACAGAGGGAGUACGCGAGGCGUACCCCUCUUGGUACGCUGGGCGUACAUCGAUGCUCGCAGAUUGGAGUCGGGACACAGACCCACUACGUUGGGCGUACAUCCAUUUGCGCGGGGUGUAAUCUCGCUGAACUAAAAUCCCACAUAAGUUCUUAAUGGCUUAAGCUCUUAAUCCCAAACUUCAGAUCCAUAGACCAAAUAUGCCUAGGAUUCAUAAAGUCUCAAACUUUAUUACUUGGGACGUCCAUAAAGCUCUUAACUCACGGUCUUAAUCCAUUAAGACCUACCUAUCUCACGCAUGAGACAACCAAAGCCAUUGGGACCUCAUUUUUCUCACUCAAGACCUCUCCUAAGGUCUGAAAGGACAGCUAAUCUCAACUAACUCGCAUCAUGCAUCACUUUGGGGUUUUUGGGACAAGAAUGGUGUCCAAAACUUCAUAAUACAUAGGUCUACAGAAUAUGUUUGUCAAGUAAGAGACUUUAUACCUCAAAAGGGCUCCAGAAGAUGAUGCCUUUCCAGAUCUACGAGCUCUAGCCACCCCACUCCUUCUUUGACAACUUCUUCUUUCUUCUUCUAGGCUUUCCUUUGCCAAACCAAGCUCUCCAAGGUCAAAUAUCCACAACAAUGGAAGAAGAACGGCUACUUAGGGUUUCUGAGGGUAAGAGGGCAGAUAUGGAGGCUGGGGUUGGAACCAUAAUGUUCCUUAUAUAGUGGUUGGCCCUAAAAUUAGGGUUUCUGGAUGAUAGACAUACGCUGGGCGUAAUUCCAGUACGCUGGGCGUACGCCGAGGGAUCCCGCUUUUCAUUAAUUCGAUUACGUUGGGUGUAACCCAGCCUACGCUGGGCGUACCCACGCGUGUCCCAUGCAUGCAUUGCCUUACUUUGUCAACUUUUUCCAUCAAGUGGCAUAAGUGACAAUAUCUUCAAAGUGUCAUAGCUCCUUUAUUUUAAGUCCAUUUCCGACAAAAUUUAUAUCCACGAAAAGGUGGAGAGAAGCCCUACACUUCUAGCAACACAUCCCGACCCAAAACCUUCUCGAAUAUAACCCAUUGCCCAUAGAAAACCGAAACGCUCUUACUCUUUGAUCUCGGGGAACCAUAAAUAACUACUCUUAGAAUGGGGCGUUACAUUUGAGAUCGUGAAACUUCAUAGCAGAGAAGAACCAAUUUUCUUCGAUAAACUGAAUUGACGUGGUGAAAAUGAAGCCAAACGUUUGUUAAAUUGUUUCAUGUUUCUUUGCAGUUUACACUUCCUCCAUCUAAAAGUCAAAAAUAACUUCAAACCAAAAGCUUUUCAAUUGAAACACACAAUGGUACAUUCCCUUGCACAAAAAAAAUUCAUUACAAAUUAAACCUAGAGCAAAAAAAAAGAAUAGAAAAAUGACACAUUUUUUUAUAAAUCUUUGACCAAAUCGCCCGUUUCAAAAAACGGUGACAGUGGUUGAAAGAUAAUCUAACCUUCGUUUCUUUAUGAAAUUCAUAAAGAGUGAAGUGCAUGAAAAAUUCCUGAAAAAAAAAACCAAAAUAUCCAUGGAAUGAAUGUAAGAUCACACGAAUUCCCAAAAUACCCUUUAAAUAAAAGUUUAUUCCAUUCAUCAAAAAAAAUUUAAAAGUCACCACUCUUUUUUAUCUCCCAUGCUCCGUAAACAAAACCCAAACCAGUAGAUUAAGUUCCUUUUGAUAAUAAUUUGAACCAAAUGCCCCUGCUUGCUUACACACCAACUACAAAUGAGAAAUAACCCAACUUUAAUUAUAGAUCUAAACAAAGGGGAACUGCAGUGACCAUUUAAAUUAAAAUCGACAGGUUAAUCUUUCCGAUCGAUUUAUGGUUCCGUUCAUUUCCAAGGACCAGGAACAUCAAUAUGGGUUUUUGCUCAUUUCCAAUCUCCAAUCAACGAAAACAUGAAGAAAAUCGAAAACAUUAGCUAAUGAAAGUGGUUUUACCUCAAAUUAUAAGUCAAGGUCAAGAAUGCAAACCUGGACAUUGAUAAAACAAAAAAUUAUCAUGGACCGACAAAUGAAAUUGCAAAAUUGGCAAGAAACACGAUUAAUCAUAAAUUUGAAGCAUGGACAUUGAUACACGCCUUAUUAAUACACAAAUAAAUGCUAUUUCUUUCAUUUAGCCCAAAAUUAUAGAAAAUUUAAGCAAAAGGAGAAUUUGCCUCUUUCUUCUUUCCUCCAUAGAAGAGCUUGUAUCCACCAUAAAUAAAUACUCCCCACCCCAUUAAAGAGACAAUAAGAAACUGAAAAUACACACACACACACACAAACAGAUUCAUAUCAUCAAUAAAAAUAUCUGGAUCAUAGUUUUUCAUUACAGUUUGAAGAAUAAAUUCUUUUUUAGCCAAUUCCUAAUUUAUAUAGAAAUUUAGAAACAACAAUGUUCUAUUACUUGUUACUGUUAUUAAACCAACUGACAAGCAACCAACAUCAAAAUUCAAAAGUUAAAACUUAAACAUGUAAUUGAGUGAAAAAAUGCAUAUAAAGAAGGUAAUCCAUGUCAGGCAUUUGAUCGAACAACUUGCCUGCAAUCUGAUUUCUAUUCUUUUAGUUAUUCUAAGUGUUUGAUUUCUAUCCUUCUAUUAACUUUGAGUGGGUUGUUCAUCAUCAAGACUUUCGUUUCAACGAGAUAUAAGGCAUAAGACUAAUCAAAUCAAGAGACAUCUGAGAAAUGUAGAAGAACAUGGAUUAUUGACAUCAGUCAACAGACAACCAAAUUAAGAGAAAAGGAUCAUCACCAUCACCAACGACACUGAUAACCAUGAAAUUGGUAUCAAUAUUGUCGAUUUCAAAAGAAAUCAGAAAAACGGAAGAAAAAGGAACCUGAGGUGAGACGGUGUAGCUGUAGGGUACGAAGCUGGUGGCGGUGAAGGCUGUGAGAAAGGGGACCGACUGGUUCCAGGGUCCUGUGAGAGGUUAUCGACAGCGGUGCCUGAGAAGUUGUAAGCGACGGAGAUUUCUGAAGGCCAUUCGAGAGAGGCUAUCGGCCACAAAGUUUUCCUAUGAUAGAGAAGCCGACAAAGAUUAUUCGUGUCUUAGAGAAUAUCGGUGGUUUGGAGGAACGGUGGAAGGAACUGGAAAUGGAAAUAUAUGCAAAUGGUUUAAAUCGAGAAAAUCGAGAAGCAUCGGAA